UUAAGCGACUAAGCGUACACGGUGGAUGCCCUGGCAGUCAGAGGCGAUGAAGGACGUGCUAAUCUGCGAUAAGCGUCGGUGAGGUGAUAUGAACCGUUAUAACCGGCGAUUUCCGAAUGGGGAAACCCAGUGUGUUUCGACACACUAUCAUUAACUGAAUCCAUAGGUUAAUGAGGCGAACCGGGGGAACUGAAACAUCUAAGUACCCCGAGGAAAAGAAAUCAACCGAGAUUCCCCCAGUAGCGGCGAGCGAACGGGGAGGAGCCCAGAGCCUGAAUCAGUGUGUGUGUUAGUGGAAGCGUCUGGAAAGGCGUGCGAUACAGGGUGACAGCCCCGUACACAAAAAUGCACAUAUUGUGAGCUCGAUGAGUAGGGCGGGACACGUGGUAUCCUGUCUGAAUAUGGGGGGACCAUCCUCCAAGGCUAAAUACUCCUGACUGACCGAUAGUGAACCAGUACCGUGAGGGAAAGGCGAAAAGAACCCCGGCGAGGGGAGUGAAAAAGAACCUGAAACCGUGUACGUACAAGCAGUGGGAGCCUCUUAAUGGGGUGACUGCGUACCUUUUGUAUAAUGGGUCAGCGACUUAUAUUCUGUAGCAAGGUUAACCGAAUAGGGGAGCCGAAGGGAAACCGAGUCUUAACUGGGCGUUAAGUUGCAGGGUAUAGACCCGAAACCCGGUGAUCUAGCCAUGGGCAGGUUGAAGGUUGGGUAACACUAACUGGAGGACCGAACCGACUAAUGUUGAAAAAUUAGCGGAUGACUUGUGGCUGGGGGGGAAAGGCCAAUCAAACCGGGAGAUAGCUGGUUCUCCCCGAAAGCUAUUUAGGUAGCGCCUCGUGAAUUCAUCUCCGGGGGUAGAGCACUGUUUCGGCAAGGGGGUCAUCCCGACUUACCAACCCGAUGCAAACUGCGAAUACCGGAGAAUGUUAUCACGGGAGACACACGGCGGGUGCUAACGUCCGUCGUGAAGAGGGAAACAACCCAGACCGCCAGCUAAGGUCCCAAAGUCAUGGUUAAGUGGGAAACGAUGUGGGAAGGCCCAGACAGCCAGGAUGUUGGCUUAGAAGCAGCCAUCAUUUAAAGAAAGCGUAAUAGCUCACUGGUCGAGUCGGCCUGCGCGGAAGAUGUAACGGGGCUAAACCAUGCACCGAAGCUGCGGCAGCGACACUAUGUGUUGUUGGGUAGGGGAGCGUUCUGUAAGCCUGUGAAGGUGGCCUGUGAGGGUUGCUGGAGGUAUCAGAAGUGCGAAUGCUGACAUAAGUAACGAUAAAGCGGGUGAAAAGCCCGCUCGCCGGAAGACCAAGGGUUCCUGUCCAACGUUAAUCGGGGCAGGGUGAGUCGACCCCUAAGGCGAGGCCGAAAGGCGUAGUCGAUGGGAAACAGGUUAAUAUUCCUGUACUUGGUGUUACUGCGAAGGGGGGACGGAGAAGGCUAUGUUGGCCGGGCGACGGUUGUCCCGGUUUAAGCGUGUAGGCUGGUUUUCCAGGCAAAUCCGGAAAACCAAGGCUGAGGCGUGAUGACGAGGCACUACGGUGCUGAAGCGACAAAUGCCCUGCUUCCAGGAAAAGCCUCUAAGCAUCAGGUAACAUCAAAUCGUACCCAAAACCGACACAGGUGGUCAGGUAGAGAAUACCAAGGCGCUUGAGAGAACUCGGGUGAAGGAACUAGGCAAAAUGGUGCCGUAACUUCGGGAGAAGGCACGCUGAUAUGUAGGUGAAGCGACUUGCUCGUGGAGCUGAAAUCAGUCGAAGAUACCAGCUGGCUGCAACUGUUUAUUAAAAACACAGCACUGUGCAAACACGAAAGUGGACGUAUACGGUGUGACGCCUGCCCGGUGCCGGAAGGUUAAUUGAUGGGGUUAGCGGUAACGCGAAGCUCUUGAUCGAAGCCCCGGUAAACGGCGGCCGUAACUAUAACGGUCCUAAGGUAGCGAAAUUCCUUGUCGGGUAAGUUCCGACCUGCACGAAUGGCGUAAUGAUGGCCAGGCUGUCUCCACCCGAGACUCAGUGAAAUUGAACUCGCUGUGAAGAUGCAGUGUACCCGCGGCAAGACGGAAAGACCCCGUGAACCUUUACUAUAGCUUGACACUGAACAUUGAGCCUUGAUGUGUAGGAUAGGUGGGAGGCUUUGAAGUGUGGACGCCAGUCUGCAUGGAGCCGACCUUGAAAUACCACCCUUUAAUGUUUGAUGUUCUAACGUUGGCCCGUAAUCCGGGUUGCGGACAGUGUCUGGUGGGUAGUUUGACUGGGGCGGUCUCCUCCUAAAGAGUAACGGAGGAGCACGAAGGUUGGCUAAUCCUGGUCGGACAUCAGGAGGUUAGUGCAAUGGCAUAAGCCAGCUUGACUGCGAGCGUGACGGCGCGAGCAGGUGCGAAAGCAGGUCAUAGUGAUCCGGUGGUUCUGAAUGGAAGGGCCAUCGCUCAACGGAUAAAAGGUACUCCGGGGAUAACAGGCUGAUACCGCCCAAGAGUUCAUAUCGACGGCGGUGUUUGGCACCUCGAUGUCGGCUCAUCACAUCCUGGGGCUGAAGUAGGUCCCAAGGGUAUGGCUGUUCGCCAUUUAAAGUGGUACGCGAGCUGGGUUUAGAACGUCGUGAGACAGUUCGGUCCCUAUCUGCCGUGGGCGCUGGAGAACUGAGGGGGGCUGCUCCUAGUACGAGAGGACCGGAGUGGACGCAUCACUGGUGUUCGGGUUGUCAUGCCAAUGGCACUGCCCGGUAGCUAAAUGCGGAAGAGAUAAGUGCUGAAAGCAUCUAAGCACGAAACUUGCCCCGAGAUGAGUUCUCCCUGACUCCUUGAGAGUCCUGAAGGAACGUUGAAGACGACGACGUUGAUAGGCCGGGUGUGUAAGCGCAGCGAUGCGUUGAGCUAACCGGUACUAAUGAACCGUGAGGCUUAACCUU
This 2902-nucleotide ribosomal RNA is filed under the name Escherichia coli HVH 77 (4-2605759). RNAcentral's name for it is "bacterial LSU rRNA". It matches the Rfam family "Bacterial large subunit ribosomal RNA". The record is from RNAcentral. Lineage: Bacteria; Pseudomonadati; Pseudomonadota; Gammaproteobacteria; Enterobacterales; Enterobacteriaceae.